Molecule: transfer RNA, 71 nt
Filed under: Aphyosemion australe (lyretail killifish)
Lineage: Eukaryota; Metazoa; Chordata; Actinopteri; Cyprinodontiformes; Nothobranchiidae
Description: tRNA-Thr
Rfam family: tRNA
About the family: Transfer RNA (tRNA) molecules are approximately 80 nucleotides in length. Their secondary structure includes four short double-helical elements and three loops (D, anti-codon, and T loops).
Source: RNAcentral
GCAUUGGUAGCUUAGACAAAAGCACCAGUCUUGUAAACUGGCCCACGAAGGUUAAAAUCCUUCCCAACGCU